AUAAUUCAGUUGUUGUAUCUUUUUUGUUGCCUACGUGAACCAUAGUUAUCUGACAAGAACAUUUCUCUUAAGGUGUUUAUAGGACUUGGGCGUCUUCUGUUGAAAUUGGAUGAGGUUCCUAAGCUUAGAAAAGAUUGCAUUGAUGAGGUUUCUGUCCAGCUGAAAAUGGUGUGGUGAAAACACUGGUUGAGCACAAGCUUUUGCCUCGAAUAGUUGCAGGAUCUAGUGUUGGUUCCAUCAUAUGUUCAAUUGUUGCUACCCCGAACAUGGCCUGAGGUACAGAGCUUCUUGGUGGACUCAUUGCAGACCUUGCAGUUCUUUGAUAGGAUAGGUGGAAUUUUGUCAGUAACAAAACGGGUUAUGACUUAUGGCGCACUUCAUGACAUUAGCCAGAUGCAAAGGCUUUUGAGGGAUCUGACAAGUCACUACAUGACUGGCCGUGUUCUUGGCAUCACAGUUUGCUCUCAUAGAAAGAAAUGAGCCACCCCGCUGCCUCAACUACCUGACAUCAAACACGUUGUUAUCUGGAGUGCUGUGACGGCCUCUCUUGUGCAUUCCCCGGACUCUUCGAAGCUCAGGAAUUGACGGCGAAGGAUAGAUUGGGUGAGGGAAAAGGAGGAGGACCCAGAACAAGGUCCUGGAGCAUCAAAGCAUCGAUGGAGGGAUGGAAGUUUGGAGGUGGAUCUUCCCAUGAUGCAAAUAAAAGAGUUGUUUAAUGUAAAUCACUUCAUUGUGAGCCAAACUAAUCCUCAUGUCUCUCCACUCCUCCGAUUGAAGGAGAUCGUCCGAACCUAUGGAGGUCGCUUUGCUGGAAAGUGCGCUCGUCUUGCUGAAAUGGAGGUUAAGUACAGAUGUAACCAAAUCCUAGAAAUUGGCCUCCCACUCAAAGGACUAGCAAAAUUGUUUGCUCAGGCUCGGGAGGGUGAUGUCACCAUGGUUAUGCCCGCAACAGCAGCCCAGCAAAAGAACACUGUCAACCUUUCUCAGAGAUCCAAAUUAGUUGCACAUCCUGCGUUUCUACCCUACUUUCUGCCCGUUCCAAUGAUUGGGAGCUUAAGGAGACCGUACCCUGCAUUUUGUAAACAAAGUAGGUAAAGCAGCUAGCUGUAUUUGUUGGCUUGUGCACAUUUGGUUUCCGAAAUGUAUUUGUGUAACCAAUCCAUGUUGGUUGUAAUUACUUUGUCAUGUAUAUAUGAUGUUUGGCUCACAAACAAGAUAUGAUUGUGCUGCUGCUGUAAAUUAUUUCUGCAGAUUGUCUGAUGAAAUGCAUGAUAGCAUGAAGAAUAUAA
Molecule: RNA transcript, 1289 nt
Organism: Oryza brachyantha (malo sina)
Lineage: Eukaryota; Viridiplantae; Streptophyta; Magnoliopsida; Poales; Poaceae
Gene name: triacylglycerol lipase SDP1-like
Exons: 5
Source: RefSeq, a predicted model, not a curated record